This 465-nucleotide ribosomal RNA is filed under the name uncultured Klebsiella sp. RNAcentral describes it as "bacterial SSU rRNA". It matches the Rfam family "Bacterial small subunit ribosomal RNA", at positions 338 to 795 of the family's 1533-position model. The record is from RNAcentral. Lineage: Bacteria; Pseudomonadati; Pseudomonadota; Gammaproteobacteria; Enterobacterales; Enterobacteriaceae.
CCUACGGGCGGCUGCAGUGGGGAAUAUUGCACAAUGGGCGCAAGCCUGAUGCAGCCAUGCCGCGUGUGUGAAGAAGGCCUUCGGGUUGUAAAGCACUUUCAGCGGGGAGGAAGGCGGUGAGGUUAAUAACCUCAUCGAUUGACGUUACCCGCGGAAGAAGCACCGGCUAACUCCGUGCCAGCAGCCGCGGUAAUACGGAGGGUGCAAGCGUUAAUCGGAAUUACUGGGCGUAAAGCGCACGCAGGCGGUCUGUCAAGUCGGAUGUGAAAUCCCCGGGCUCAACCUGGGAACUGCAUUCGAAACUGGCAGGCUAGAGUCUUGUAGAGGGGGGUAGAAUUCCAGGUGUAGCGGUGAAAUGCGUAGAGAUCUGGAGGAAUACCGGUGGCGAAGGCGGCCCCCUGGACAAAGACUGACGCUCAGGUGCGAAAGCGUGGGGAGCAAACAGGAUUAGAUACCCCAGUAGUC